RNAcentral lists this ribosomal RNA (879 nucleotides) under uncultured bacterium. RNAcentral describes it as "bacterial SSU rRNA". It matches the Rfam family "Bacterial small subunit ribosomal RNA", at positions 26 to 898 of the family's 1533-position model. The record is from RNAcentral.
AGAAUGAACGCUGGCGGCGUGCCUAACACAUGCAAGUCGGAUGUGCCCGCAAGGGUGCAUGGCAGACGGGUGAGUAACGCGUGGAAAACCUACCUCUUUGUGGGGAAUAACGCUCCGAAAGGAGUGGUAAUACCGCAUGAGACCAUGGACUGGGAUGUUCAUGGUGAAACCUGGGGACCGCAAGGCCUGGGGCAAGGAGAGGGUUCUGCGUCUGAUUAGCUAGUUGGUGGGGUAAUGGCCUACCAAGGCGACGAUCAGUAGCCGGCCUGAGAGGGUGAUCGGCCACACUGGAACUGAGACACGGUCCAGACUCCUACGGGAGGCAGCAGUGGGGAAUUUUGCGCAAUGGGCGAAAGCCUGACGCAGCAACGCCGCGUGGGUGAUGAAGGUCUUCGGAUCGUAAAACCCUGUCGUCGGGGACGAAGGUUGCGGGUUGAAUAGGCUCGUAACUUGACGGUACCCGGAGAGGAAGCCCCGGCUAACUCUGUGCCAGCAGCCGCGGUAAUACAGAGGGGGCAAGCGUUAUUCGGAAUUAUUGGGCGUAAAGGGCGCGUAGGCGGUGUUUUAAGUGAGAUGUGCAAUCCCCGAGCUUAACUUGGGAACUGCAUCUCAGACUGGAACGCUAGAGUACUGGAGAGGGUGGUAGAAUUCCACGUGUAGCGGUGAAAUGCGUAGAGAUGUGGAGGAAUACCAGUAGCGAAGGCGGCCACCUGGACAGUAACUGACGCUGAGGCGCGAAAGUGUGGGUAGCAAACAGGAUUAGAUACCCUGGUAGUCCACGCCCUAAACGAUGCACACUUGGUGUGGGCAGUUCAUUCUGUCUGUGCCGGAGCUAACGCGUUAAGUGUGCCGCCUGGGGAGUACGGUCGCAAGGCUGAA